GUGCCAGCAGCCGCGGUAAUACGUAGGUGGCAAGCGUUGUCCGGAAUUAUUGGGCGUAAAGCGCGCGCAGGCGGUCCUUUAAGUCUGAUGUGAAAGCCCACGGCUCAACCGUGGAGGGUCAUUGGAAACUGGGGGACUUGAGUACAGAAGAGGAAAGUGGAAAUUCCACGUGUAGCGGUGAAAUGCGUAGAGAUGUGGAGGAACACCAGUGGCGAAGGCGACUUUCUGGUCUGUAACUGACGCUGAGGCGCGAAAGCGUGGGGAGCAAACAGGAUUAGAUACCCUGGUAGUCC
This 293-nucleotide ribosomal RNA is filed under the name uncultured microorganism. RNAcentral describes it as "partial 16S ribosomal RNA". It matches the Rfam family "Bacterial small subunit ribosomal RNA", at positions 505 to 796 of the family's 1533-position model. The record is from RNAcentral.